GUAACAGAUCUUACAGACCCAGCUCGAACCCAAAUGGGGGAGAGCGCUACUCUCAAAAUAGAGAAGGAGCCUAUCAAAGCACCCGUGGCUUUCAGGGAAAUUAUCAUAACAGCCGUCAGGGAAAUUUUAACGGCAGUAAUAGUAACAACUGGAACAAAGGAAAAGCAACGGAGGGCCGAACUGAUGCCACUCUCAAAUUGAAGUGCUUUUUAUGUGAA
RNAcentral lists this long non-coding RNA (218 nucleotides) under Olea europaea subsp. europaea. The record is from RNAcentral. Lineage: Eukaryota; Viridiplantae; Streptophyta; Magnoliopsida; Lamiales; Oleaceae.